ACGAGCAGUGAUUGGCCCUCCAGGGGAGACUGCCCUGGAAUCCAGUCACCUCGCCUAUAGGCCCCCCGGCUCCCAGGAGGAGCAAUUUUCAAACCAUGACAAAGUAACAAGGAAUGAGGAAGUUGAAAAUGGCUGAAGGAGGCAAAGAAACAGCAGAAAAUUAAUUAGAAAGGAAAGAGGACACCGAAGUGGCAGUGUGGCAAGAGAACUGAAAGGGGAAAGAGUAAAACUGAAGGAGAUUUUUUUUAACUAACUGUCAAAACAGCUACAUUUUCAGAAAGUAAAUGUGAAUUUACUUUAUGUGAACAAUAAAUACAUUCC
Molecule: long non-coding RNA, 321 nt
Organism: Pipra filicauda (Wire-tailed manakin)
Lineage: Eukaryota; Metazoa; Chordata; Aves; Passeriformes; Pipridae
Exons: 3
Source: RefSeq, a predicted model, not a curated record